Molecule: long non-coding RNA, 393 nt
Organism: Carya illinoinensis
Lineage: Eukaryota; Viridiplantae; Streptophyta; Magnoliopsida; Fagales; Juglandaceae
Exons: 2
Source: RefSeq, a predicted model, not a curated record
CCGGGCCAUAUUAUUAAAGAUUGUCCUACUCGUCCCCAGAAUCGUCAGGCUAAUGCUUAUCAGGCUACUGUGGGUUCCUCUUCUUCUGCUACUGCGAGCGAUUCUUCUACUCUUACUACAGAGAUGGUUCAGCAAAUGAUUAUUUCAACAUUUUCAGCCUUAGGGCUGCAAGGAUCAGGUGUCGGGCCAAAUACUCGCGAAGGGGCCUAAAGUUGGACGUUUAUUUCCUCUACAUUUUUCUCUUCCUGCUGUUAUUUCGUUUGCUUGUCACACUGUGAACAAUAAGUAUGAAGUAUGGCACAAACGGUUGGGUCAUCCUAAUUCCGUUGUUUUAUCUCAUGUAAUAAAUUCUGGUUUGUUGGGCAAUAAAGAUAAUUUUUCUUCUCAUCUUUC